AGUGCGCUUCCAAAUAGCAUCCUCGCCAUCCAAACUCAUUGCAGGUAUACUUAAGGUAUUCUCCUUCUCUCGAACAUUUUCAUUUUCCUGUUGAGAGAUGGAAUCAGAUUUCCUCUUGUUAGAUUUUGUAUGAAAGAUUCCUUGAAGUUCUUUUUCACUCUCAGGAGAAAAUGCAGUUUGCAUCACCACUUCCUCCCCAUGCUCAGAAUCCCCAACAGCAUAGUUUCGCACUUCACCCAUUGUUGGUUUCAACGAAUUACCAUCUAGACCUUCAACUUCAGAACUCAAACUGGAAGAAGCUUCUGGCGAAGGUGUU
RNAcentral lists this unclassified non-coding RNA (316 nucleotides) under Hevea brasiliensis (rubber tree). Lineage: Eukaryota; Viridiplantae; Streptophyta; Magnoliopsida; Malpighiales; Euphorbiaceae. The record is from RNAcentral.